GACGAACGCUGGCGGCGUGCCUAAUACAUGCAAGUAGAACGCGCAGUUUAUACCGUAGCUUGCUACACCAUAGACUGUGAGUUGCGAACGGGUGAGUAACGCGUAGGUAACCUGCCUGGUAGCGGGGGAUAACUAUUGGAAACGAUAGCUAAUACCGCAUAAUAUUAAUUAUUGCAUGAUAAUUAAUUGAACGGUGCAAUUGCACCACUACCAGAUGGACCUGCGUUGUAUUAGCUAGUAGGUGAGGUAACGGCUCACCUAGGCGACGAUACAUAGCCGACCUGAGAGGGUGAUCGGCCACACUGGGACUGAGACACGGCCCAGACUCCUACGGGAGGCAGCAGUAGGGAAUCUUCGGCAAUGGACGAAAGUCUGACCGAGCAACGCCGCGUGAGUGAAGAAGGUUUUCGGAUCGUAAAGCUCUGUUGUAAGAGAAGAACGGGUGUGAGAGUGGAAAGUUCACACUGUGACGGUAUCUUAACAGAAAGGGACGGCUAACUACGUG
Molecule: ribosomal RNA, 505 nt
Filed under: uncultured bacterium
Lineage: Bacteria
Description: partial 16S ribosomal RNA
Rfam family: Bacterial small subunit ribosomal RNA
Source: RNAcentral